Molecule: small RNA, 28 nt
Filed under: Bombyx mori (domestic silkworm)
Lineage: Eukaryota; Metazoa; Arthropoda; Insecta; Lepidoptera; Bombycidae
Description: piRNA piR-bmo-2199779
Source: RNAcentral
UAGUACAAUUUUACGGGACCGACAAUGA